This 367-nucleotide ribosomal RNA is filed under the name uncultured bacterium. RNAcentral describes it as "bacterial SSU rRNA". It matches the Rfam family "Bacterial small subunit ribosomal RNA", at positions 527 to 896 of the family's 1533-position model. The record is from RNAcentral.
GGAGGGUGCAAGCGUUGUCCGGAUUUAUUGGGUUUAAAGGGUGCGUAGGUGGGUAUUUAAGUCUGGUUUGAAAGCAGGUGGCUCUACCAUCUGAUGUGGCUGGAAACUGGAUAUCUUGAAUGGGUUGGCGGUAGCCGGAAUGGGUCAUGUAGCGGUGAAAUGCAUAGAUAUGACCCGGAACACCGAUUGCGAAGGCAGGCUACUACGACUUGAUUGACACUGAGGCACGAGAGCAUGGGUAGCGAACAGGAUUAGAUACCCUGGUAGUCCAUGCCGUAAACGAUGAUUACUGGCUGUGUGUGUUCUAACAUGCGUGGCUGAGCGAAAGCGUUAAGUAAUCCACCUGGGGAGUACGCUGGCAACAGUG